UUUUACCUUUCACAAUACAAGAAACUUGAAUGUUCUGAUAUCAAAGUAGCAAGAUGUGAGGCUUUCCUAUUUAACAAGUUCACCCUAGAAUGUAGGUCCAGUUCUGGAAGAUCGCUGACUCAUAAUUCUGUCUGUCUCUGUCACUUUGUCACACAGUUUAACCCCAUGGCUCCCUUGUAGCUGGAUGUACCUGGAUAUCGCAAGCAUGCUACUCUGAAUGACCUGUGUGGUGUACGUCGUGGACGCCAGCAAAGUUUCUCAGAGGUCUGCUAAGAUGAUGGACAAGUUGGUUGCUAUCUGCAAGAAGACCAUUCAGAUGUCUGAGUGAAUAAAGCCCUCAGUGCCUUUUUUCUUUUAUUAUAGUUUCAUAAUGCUUUAUGACCACAAGGUGCUCCUUUUACAAGAUAAUCUACCACUUCAAAAGCAUUCCCCAGCUGGUACUGUUGACCAAAGUGGACAAGGCCUGCAGAAUGUUUACCUCAGCCACUACAUAAAGAGGAAGACCCACGAGUUAAGUGCGUCUGAACCAGAUGUUGAACUACGCUGACAGCUUCUUCAAAAACCAGCUAGAGAAGCAGGAAGAGCUGCACCCAUCUAAACCCCGGCCCCGCCCCAAACCUGAGCCAACAGUUUUACACACCUGGUACCGGUCCUGUACGUGGCCCUUCAGGAUACUGUUGACGUCGUCUAUAUCCAGCCCUGUGCUGGGUCCUUCCUCCAGACCCAUGGUGUCACACAGGACCAGAGGGAGAGCCUUCCCAC
Molecule: long non-coding RNA, 762 nt
Organism: Oncorhynchus keta (chum salmon)
Lineage: Eukaryota; Metazoa; Chordata; Actinopteri; Salmoniformes; Salmonidae
Exons: 4
Source: RefSeq, a predicted model, not a curated record